This is a long non-coding RNA of Andrographis paniculata, 3565 nucleotides long. RefSeq lists it as uncharacterized. NCBI's taxonomy places the organism in Eukaryota, Viridiplantae, Streptophyta, Magnoliopsida, Lamiales, Acanthaceae. The transcript has 16 exons. The record is from RefSeq and is a predicted model, not a curated record.
CUGCUCAAGUGCAAGCUCAAGUUGCAGCACCACUUGGGCCAUUGUAGGCCGCUCUUUUGGAUCAUUAUGCAAACAUCUUUCAGCAACCCCAACAAAUACCUUCAGGCUAAGCGAUAACAUGCAUCCUCUUCAAGGGAUGAAUCCAUUGCUGGUCUCCAACACAAUACUUCCAACAGCACCACUCCAAAGGAAUACGUGUCGCUUUUCCUUGUUUUGCCAAACCCAAAUCUGAGACCUUGGCUAUGAGAUUUUCGUCCAGCAGGAUGUUUGAAGUCUUAACAUCUCGGUGUAUGACUCCAUUGCCAGUGUGAAGAUAGUCCAAACCUCGGCCAGCUCCAAUACAAAUAUUUAGGCAUUCCUUCCAGAUCGUAUUUCUGAUAGUGAAAAUUGUCUACACAGCUGUUCAGCUCUGAGGAAAGGAUGAUGAAACCCUUGCCGGUGGAAGGGCAUGUGGACUGCCAAGGCUGUUGUCUGGGUUACUAAUCUUGUAAAUUUCAAAUCCUUCAAGUAGUCUAUGCCCAUUGAUAAGUUCAUCAUUGGACUGCAGGUUGAUCGAUAGUCCUCUUUUACCUUCUUGUUUUAACCCUUUGAUCGCCACCACAUAAUCCCUAUAACUGGGGGAUCCAUGAUCAACCUGGUUUUUUACUAUCUCCAUGUUAGUAUCAACAACCAUUUCAUCAAUAAGAACUCUGAAAGUCAGUUCACCAUUCUCUGCGUUCUUGAGUUCUAGCUUGCUGAAAUAAAUCCUGACCAAGUACCUGAACCCGACAUCGACUGAUUGAUUCCAGAUUCAAUCUGUGGAUUAAUUCAAGUGCAGUUGUGUUAUCAAUGCAUACUGGAACUCUCUGGCCAACAACCUGAGCUCUAACAUCUCUCCCUCUAAAAUAGGAAAGAUGCACGGGAACUGAAAUGAUCUCAAUCCCAUUUAUGAAAGCAUAAGUCCUGUCUUGUGAUCGACUUUUUACAGUGCAUGAGCAGUAAGUGCAGCACUGAAGUUACUGAGCAGGAUGAAAGAUCCAGCUUCCACGGAGAAUUGGUGGUGGGAGAUUCUUGCUGUCUUGUGGGGAACUGUAUCAGCGUAGAUGGGCUUCUCAUCAAUGGCUGUUGAGGUAGUCGAUGAGCCCCUAAUUUGUAGUAAAGUGGAUGGUUUUGGUUUUACAUCUCCAAUCCAUUUCUUACCAUUGGCUGAUGCAGAAGUGGUAACUGAACCACAGUUGAUGGAAGUUCCGUUUAUGACGUCGGCUGGAUUGGAACUGGUAGCUGUAAAUAUAGUGAAAGAGAAGAUUAGGAGUAACAGAGCAAUUGGAACAGUUUCAAGAUGCUGGAAAGAACUCCUACAAUCACUCUCUGCCUUUCGGUAUCGCCAACAAUGGAAGUUUUAGUCGUUCGACUACCUCCUCCAUUGACGGCCUUAUAGAAAGAGAAUCUGCCGUGCAUUCAAUAGCCAAGUGUAAUAAGUCGACCAAAUCAUCUCGAGGGCCUACAUCCCACAACCAAGGAACAAAGAACUCCUCGGCACAACCUUCCCGCAAGAGUGUGCAUGCCCAAGCUACAAUUCUGAACCUACUUUCCAACGAAAAUGAUGCCCCCAGAGUUUUCUUGUCGUAGAUCAACUCGAGCAACACAAUCCCGUAGCUAUAAACAUCAGUUUUCUCAGAAACACUGCCUAUCAUUGCAUAUUCUGGAGCAACAUACGCAUCGUAAGUCUGUGAAGCCUCGAGAACCCUGGCUAGUCCGAAACCAGAGAGUGCAGGUAGUAAAUUGCUUGUGCAAUAUUCAGGGCAAUCUUGAAGAUUAUCCUCCAAUCGACAGGUCCAGAGAUAUGAUAUCCAAGCAAUGUCACGAGGUUGGGAUGACGAAGACGCCCGAGGGUUUUGAUUUCUGUGUCGAAUUUUUCGACACCUUGGAAAAGUCCAGCUGUUAACCGUUUUACGACAACAUGGACACCGGGAGUAAUCUCAGCUUUGUAUGUUGUCCCGGUGCGACCCUCACCAAUGCAGCUGGUUGCACUGAAAUUCCCGGAGGUAGCAUAUCCGUAAAUAACGCUAAUUUCCCCUUGUCAAUUGGGAGAUCAUCGACGCUAUUAUCAAAAGUACGGGCAUUCGAGCUAUCCUGUUUCUCAAGUUUCUCAAGCACGGACUGAAGUUGCAGUACCACCUGUGCCAUUGUUGGCCGUUUCUUCGGUUCGUCGUGCAAACAUCUGCCAGCGAUCGCCAAGAAUGCUUUAAGACAGUCUCCAGAGACCUCAUCCCAUAGACUUGGGGACACAAUCUGAUCAAUGCUCCCCUUCUUAACGUUGUCUCGAGCCCACUUUGUCAAAAUCUGCUCUUCUUCUAGAAGAUUUAAAUCCACCGCAGGUCUCCCACACAGUACUUCAAACAGCACCACCCCAAAGGCAUAGGCCGAAAUCCGAAACUUUUGCCACGAAAUUCUUGUCAAGAAGGAUGUUCGAAGCCUUUACAUCACGGUGUAUAAUUCCAUGACCUGUGUGAAGAUAGUCGAGCCCACGAGCAGCCCCUAUGCAGAUAUUAAGGCGUUGCUUCCACGAUAGAGUACCCGAUUAAGGAAACCAGAUUGCAAUGCCGAAGCUCAGAAAGUGUCUCGAUCUCAGUCAAAAACUCGCGCGCACCUUGCGUGGAGUUUGGUUUUAACCUUUUUACAGCAACUGGAGUUUGCCCGUCGUCAAUCAUGCCUUUGUAGACCUUACCAAAUCCACCCCUUCCUAUCAAGAGCGCGGCGCUGAAAUUUCUAGUGGCUACUCGGAUCUCGCCAAAUGAAAAAACACGGCAGACCUUUCGAGCCCUGGCUGAUGGCUUGUCUUCCUCCUUAGGAAUGGUAACUUCCCAAACCCCCUGCAACUUAUGUAUAAUGACAUUUACCAAAGUAAGCAUGAUCAUCGAAAGAUUUAGAGGCACGAAUCGACGACCAAGAGCCGAGAUCAAAGCCUUGAAAUGCAGCUGCAUCGGCGUAUGCUGAUGAGUAGUCGGCAGCAAGGGAUUCGGACCGGCAAGACUGUUAUCAUGGUUGCUCAACUUCAGUACUUCAAACCCAGCAAGAAGUGCACUUCCAUCAACAAUGUCGUCAUACAAAUGCAGGGAGAUCAGAAGAUCACGUUUAAUCUGCUGUUUUUGGCCUCUCAUGGCCACCAGGAAGUCCACAAACCAGGUACUGUCAUUCCCUUUCUUUCCCUUGCCAAUAUCCACAUUAGAAUGGGCAAUCUUUCCAUUAAUGAGAAGUUCAAACACCAAAUGAUCAGAGCCCACAAUGUUGAGCCCCAGCUUCGAGAAAUGAAGCCUGACCAUAUACUGAAAUCCCACGUCCACAGAAUUUGUAGUUUGUGGAUCCAUCUGCUGCUGCUGCUGCUCCCUAGCAUACAAUCGAUGGACUACUUCAAGUGCAGUAUUGUAAUCAACAUUCACCUGAGAUUCCCGACGGACAACUCGGACUCCGGUAUCAUCGCCGUGAAAAUAAGAAAGUCCUGCCGGAGAGAAGAUAAUCUUCCACGGUUCGUCUUGCGGAAAGUGCAGACAGAAUUCCUUAACAAAUGAAUUCGUACCUAGAGCUU